UUUUCUCAUAUUCUGAAGCAGUAACAGGCAAAUCAUGAAUUCAAAGUUUCAAAGAGUACAAUAACACAAUUAGAAACUUAAGCAGGGAAAAAAUGGGGGAAAGACUUCAGAACCAUAGUCAAAUCACAUCAGAAUAAGGCAGUUUAAACUUAUUAGAUAUGAAAUUCAGCUCCAAUAUUAUCAAGAGGAUGUCAGAAGAACUAAGCAGCAUACUUAGGGGCUUCCCUGUGCUUGAGAAUCUUUUUCUCGAGCUCAUCUUUUUUAGCCCCAACAACUCUCUCUACUUCCUUGCCUUGUUUCAGCAGCAAAAAUGUUGGCAUAGCUUGAACUCCGAACUCUUUCGCUACGUCCGAGAGCUCAUCGACGUCAAUUUUGACAAAGUCAACAUCGGUAUACUUGGAAGCCAUGGCGUUAAUAGCCGGCUCCAUGAACUUGCAAGGCCCGCACCAUGCAGCCGCAAAAUCCACAACUAUCAGUUUAUUCAAUUGCUUGGAGGAGUUGAAGUGAAGUUGCCACCGAUUGGAUGAAUGAAAAGCAAUCACACGCGACGGCUCUGACGGCGAUCCUGACACUUCCGUUGCUGCCUGCGCUUCACCUCCGCCGAGUAAGCUUGAAACAAAGGAACCCAUUCGACUCCUCACUUCUUACGCCCGGCCC
Molecule: unclassified non-coding RNA, 657 nt
Filed under: Hevea brasiliensis (rubber tree)
Lineage: Eukaryota; Viridiplantae; Streptophyta; Magnoliopsida; Malpighiales; Euphorbiaceae
Source: RNAcentral